RNAcentral lists this ribosomal RNA (593 nucleotides) under uncultured Delftia sp. RNAcentral's name for it is "bacterial SSU rRNA". It matches the Rfam family "Bacterial small subunit ribosomal RNA", at positions 330 to 916 of the family's 1533-position model. Lineage: Bacteria; Pseudomonadati; Pseudomonadota; Betaproteobacteria; Burkholderiales; Comamonadaceae. The record is from RNAcentral.
ACGGGGGGCCUACGGGAGGCAGCAGUGGGGAAUUUUGGACAAUGGGCGAAAGCCUGAUCCAGCAAUGCCGCGUGCAGGAUGAAGGCCUUCGGGUUGUAAACUGCUUUUGUACGGAACGAAAAAGCUCCUUCUAAUACAGGGGGCCCAUGACGGUACCGUAAGAAUAAGCACCGGCUAACUACGUGCCAGCAGCCGCGGUAAUACGUAGGGUGCGAGCGUUAAUCGGAAUUACUGGGCGUAAAGCGUGCGCAGGCGGUUAUGUAAGACAGAUGUGAAAUCCCCGGGCUCAACCUGGGAACUGCAUUUGUGACUGCAUGGCUAGAGUACGGUAGAGGGGGAUGGAAUUCCGCGUGUAGCAGUGAAAUGCGUAGAUAUGCGGAGGAACACCGAUGGCGAAGGCAAUCCCCUGGACCUGUACUGACGCUCAUGCACGAAAGCGUGUGGAGCAAACAGGAUUAGAUACCCUGGUAGUCCACGCCCUAAACGAUGUCAACUGGUUGUUGGGAAUUAGUUUUCUCAGUAACGAAGCUAACGCGUGAAGUUGACCGCCUGGGGAGUACGGCCGCAAGGUUGAAACUCAAAGGAAUUGACGG